RNAcentral lists this ribosomal RNA (254 nucleotides) under uncultured bacterium. Its description in RNAcentral is "partial 16S ribosomal RNA". It matches the Rfam family "Bacterial small subunit ribosomal RNA", at positions 524 to 776 of the family's 1533-position model. The record is from RNAcentral.
UACGUAGGGGGCAAGCGUUGUCCGGAAUCAUUGGGCGUAAAGGGCGCGUAGGCGGUCGUGACAAGUCACUUGUGAAAUCUCCGGGCUUAACUCGGAACGGUCAAGUGAUACUGUCGGGCUAGAGUACAGAAGGGGCAACUGGAAUUCUCGGUGUAGCGGUGAAAUGCGUAGAUAUCGAGAGGAACACCUGCGGCGAAGGCGGGUUGCUGGGCUGAUACUGACGCUGAUGCGCGAAAGCCAGGGGAGCAAACGGG